AAAAUCUGAUGAGGCAUAGUUCAUUUGACUUACAAAGAAUGAUAACUAAUCUAACUAUCUUUGAAAUUGGUCUUUCACCCCUACCUGACAUAUUUG
Small nucleolar RNA from Armigeres subalbatus, 96 nucleotides. RefSeq annotates it as small nucleolar RNA snR60/Z15/Z230/Z193/J17. Lineage: Eukaryota; Metazoa; Arthropoda; Insecta; Diptera; Culicidae. The transcript has a single exon. The record is from RefSeq and is a predicted model, not a curated record.